This 493-nucleotide ribosomal RNA is filed under the name uncultured bacterium. Its description in RNAcentral is "bacterial SSU rRNA". It matches the Rfam family "Bacterial small subunit ribosomal RNA", at positions 32 to 501 of the family's 1533-position model. The record is from RNAcentral.
AAUCAACGCUGGCGGCGUGCCUAACACAUGCAAGUCGAACGCGAAAGGGGAGCAAUCCCUGAGUAGAGUGGCAAACGGGUGAGUAACACGUGGGUGACCUGCCUUCGAGUGGGGGAUAACGUCCCGAAAGGGACGCUAAUACCGCAUGACAUCCUGCUCUUGGAAGAGCGGAGAUCAAAGCUGGGGAUCGCAAGACCUGGCGCUUGAAGAGGGGCCCGCGCCUGAUUAGCUAGUUGGUAGGGUAAUGGCCUACCAAGGCAACGAUCAGUAUCCGGCCUGAGAGGGCGGACGGACACACUGGGACUGAGACACGGCCCAGACUCCUACGGGAGGCAGCAGUGGGGAAUUGUUCGCAAUGGGCGCAAGCCUGACGACGCAACGCCGCGUGGAGGACGAAGAUCUUCGGGUCGUAAACUCCUGUCGAGUGGGAAGAAUGGAUCAGGGUGAAUAAUCCCUGGUAUUGACGGUACCACUAAAGGAAGCCCCGGCUAAC